AACAAAAACAUGUCCUUUUGUUUGUAUUUAUUUAAGGUUUAACCUGCCCACUGAUUUUUAUAUUUUAAAUGGCCGCAGUAAUUUGACUGUGCAAAGGUAGCAUAAUCAUUAGUUUUUUAAUUGAAAGCUUGUAUGAAAGGUUGGACGAAGUAUUAUCUGUCUUUAUUUAAUUUAUUAUAGAAUUUAAUUUUUAAGUUAAAAAGCUUAAAUAUUAAUAAAAGACGAGAAGACCCUAUAAAUCUUUAUAUUAUUUUUAAUUAUUUUAAUUAGGAUUUUUUAAUUUAUAAUUUUUUUUUAAUAUUUUAUUGGGGUAAUAGAGUGAUUAAAUUAAUUCAUUUUCUUUUAUUUUUUCAUUAAUUUAUGUAUUUUUGAUCCAAUAAUUUUUGAUUAUAAGAUUAAGUUACUUUAGGGAUAACAGCGUAAUUUUUUUUAAGAGUUCAUAUCGAUAAAAAAGUUUGCGACCUCGAUGUUG
RNAcentral lists this ribosomal RNA (472 nucleotides) under Madaglymbus sp. BI-2011. Its description in RNAcentral is "partial 16S ribosomal RNA". Lineage: Eukaryota; Metazoa; Arthropoda; Insecta; Coleoptera; Dytiscidae. The record is from RNAcentral.